UAAACGACUCUCGGCAACGGAUAUCUCGGCUCUCGCAUCGAUGAAGAACGCAGCGAAAUGCGAUACUUGGUGUGAAUUGCAGGAUCCCGCGAACCAUCGAGUCUUUGAACGCAAGUUGCGCCCGAAGCCUUUUGGCCGAGGGCACGUCUGCCUGGGUGUCACUC
RNAcentral lists this ribosomal RNA (164 nucleotides) under Euphorbia appariciana. RNAcentral's name for it is "5.8S ribosomal RNA". It matches the Rfam family "5.8S ribosomal RNA". Rfam says of the family: 5.8S ribosomal RNA (5.8S rRNA) is a component of the large subunit of the eukaryotic ribosome. It is transcribed by RNA polymerase I as part of the 45S precursor that also contains 18S and 28S rRNA. Functionally, it is thought that 5.8S rRNA may be involved in ribosome translocation. The record is from RNAcentral. RNAcentral also lists the same sequence under 5 other names. Lineage: Eukaryota; Viridiplantae; Streptophyta; Magnoliopsida; Malpighiales; Euphorbiaceae.